RNAcentral lists this ribosomal RNA (845 nucleotides) under uncultured archaeon. RNAcentral describes it as "bacterial SSU rRNA". It matches the Rfam family "Archaeal small subunit ribosomal RNA", at positions 63 to 910 of the family's 1478-position model. The record is from RNAcentral.
UGUAGUAAUACAAGGCAGACGGCUCAGUAACGCGUAGUCAACCUACCCUAUGGACGGGGAUAACCUCGGGAAACUGAGAAUAAUACCCGAUAGAACAUUAUGCCUGGAAUGGUUUAUGUUUCAAAUAAUUUAUUGCCGUAGGAUGGGACUGCGGCCUAUCAGUUUGUUGGUGAGGUAAUGGCCCACCAAGACUAUUACAGGUACGGGCUCUGAGAGGAGUAGCCCGGAGAUGGGUACUGAGACACGGACCCAGGCCCUAUGGGGCGCAGCAGGCGAGAGAACUUUGCAAUGUGCGAAAGCACGACAAGGUUAAUCCGAGUGGUUUCUGCUAAAGGAACCUUUUGUCAGUCCUAGAAACACUGAUGAAUAAGGGGUGGGCAAGUUCUGGUGUCAGCCGCCGCGGUAAAACCAGCACCUCAAGUGGUCAGGAUGAUUAUUGGGCCUAAAGCAUCCGUAGCCUGCUUUGUUAGUUUUCGGUUAAAUCCAUACGCUCAACGUAUGGGCUGCCGGGAAUACUGCAAAGCUAGGGAGUGGGAGAGGUAGACGGUACUCGGUAGGAAGGGGUAAAAUCCUUUGAUCUAUUGAUGACCACCUGUGGCGAAGGCGGUCUACCAGAACACGUCCGACGGUGAGGGAUGAAAGCUGGGGGAGCAAACCGGAUUAGAUACCCGGGUAGUCCCAGCUGUAAACUAUGCAAACUCAGUGAUGCAUUGGCUUGAUGCCAAUGCAGUGCUGCAGGGAAGCCGUUAAGUUUGCCGCCUGGGAAGUACGUACGCAAGUAUGAAACUUAAAGGAAUUGGCGGGGGGAGCACCACAAGGGGUGAAGCCUGGCGGGUUCAAUUGGA